AUGAGGGUGAGUAAUUAAUGACAGAAUUUUCAUUUUUGGUUGAACUAACACUUUAAGGAUGUCUAAUGAUAGUACCAACUACCUAAAUGUUUCAUGCAUAUUACAGUGAUCCCAUUAUACUCUAUUACACUCUGUGCCUUUAGUAACUGUCAGACAUACUACACUUAAUAUUUGCCAGAUGUAGUGAUUAAAUGGUGCUGAAGAGUAAUUGAAAUCACAUUUGGUAGACUUGCACAAUGUGGAGAAGGGCCCUCCAGGAGGAGUACUGGACACCCCUGAACUAGUCGAUUGUUGACUUGCAGGAUGAUGCGGUGUCAGGGUAAAAAUUCUAAAGUCUAAGUUUUAAGAACAUGCCUCAAGAUAACUUUAUUCUGUUCCAAUCCAUUGUACUCCGUCUAUCUGAACGCAAGAGCAUAUCUUAUGUAUACAGCCUUUAAAAAAUGUGUCCCUUUGGAGUGAGUUGAACUCCAAACUAGCCUAAUUAUAGUUUAUUUUGAAAACAUGCAGUUUUGCACAACUCUAGUAUAGUCUUUUGGUUUGACUGUAUUGCCAAAACUUUUUUUUUGAUGGAUGUUUGCACUUUACUCAGUGGAUUCCUGAUGUUUUUGUCUGAUAACUGCUUUUUCAGAAUGAUGGGUCAUCCAGUUCCCUGUGAACAGCAAGCCCCAGAGCCCUGCUGAGAUUUCCAGUGAGAGGGAAGCUAUAAUGUCUGGCACUAGUGUCGUUGUGCUGAGUCACGGCACCGCUAACACUAACUUGCGACAUGGCGCGUGCCUAUCACCUGCACCCUGCUGCUAGCAAGACAAUUUGCAGCUAAAAUGACAUCCUUCGCACAGCUCCUGCUGGCAGGACCCCAACAUCGCCUUCAAUUUCUCUCACCUCCGUCUCCAGUAGCACAUACAAAUAACACUCUAUCACUCGUGGUUUGAGCAUGCAUUUUCACCAAGCUGCCUUCCACAACUACAUGGUUCAUAUCACACGAUGUGCAGCACAGAUUUAUGGCAUUCAUCAUGUUCACCUUGUUUUAGAUGUCUCUUUGAAUAGAGCUGUUCAGUUUGUGGUCUAAAACUCAAAGGAGAAUUAGUAUCUUUAGCAUUCUUAGCAUUUCCAUGUUGUGGGAAAUUUGCAGAAUUCGAUUUAAAAGUAAAAAUGGUUAACAUUUUUUGAAGAGGCUUUUAUUUUAAAGUACAUAAAACCAAUCCUCAGACAUGAAAUUUGAAACUUUUGUGCGUUUUAAAAAUGCUAUGUUGUUAACAAGAUUUAUUGUUAUUGUAGCAACUUUUAUUUUAAAAGCACACAAUGGUUUUAAAGUACAUUUGAGGUAUGAAUGGUUUCUAAAUCAUCCAUUAAGAAAAAAAAAAAAAACAUGUAAAUACUCAAGUAAUGUCAACCACAAACCUUAUUUCACUCAUAAAUCAAAAACCACCAUUUAAAAACCCUUAGGAAAUUACAAAGGGAACCUGUGGCAAAUUAGCCUUCUGGUUAGGCCCACAAAUUGACGUCAUGACUGAAUCUCUCUUUUCCCAUAGUAAAUAAACAACUGAGUCAUUUUUGACGUUCAUAAAUUUAACAGCCAACAUUGACGGGAAGUGACUGCAGUAAAUCAUUUAUUGUGAAAUUGUGGUAGCGGAUGUUCUUCUGCAAAGUGUCUGUGGUCUAAACUCCUCCGCGUGAGCUGAACUGAUCAUUUAUGGAAUCUGGCUGCCAUGGCAACAGCAGCAAGUGGGGUGGUUGCAUGGCCCAUGUGUAAACAACUGAGGUGGUCAUGUGAGAGGGAGUGACAUCAGCAGCACACUGACCUUGGGAGAUAAGGAAAGAGGAUGCUGAGAGGGGUGAGGAGGGCAGGUGGCCUGCCUCUCUUGGCAAAUUACGUGUUUAUGUGCCGAGGACACAAAGCCAAGAAUGGCAAAACAAUCGUGUUGAAGACAAACUAAUUUUGGAGCCGACUAGAAUUUGCCCACAGAUGUGACCAAUGGAUGUCCAAAAAAAUGGAAUUCUGGGCUAUGUACCAGUAACGCCUCUAACACAGGCAACUUACCUAUUCGAUCAAGGCGGUCGAUGGCUACGGUCUCAAACGCUCUCCUCAUCAUGGGGUACUCCUCCAGUACUUCAUUAAAGUUGUCUACGGAGAGCGAGUACAGUCGGCAAUAGGUGUCCGCCCGUACGCUGGCGGUUCGUCUUCCACGGGUCAACAGGCAGAUCUCUGAGAAUGAACAGGACAUAUCAUGGUUAUGGUUCCAGAAUCUUCUGUAUCUUAGUGUAACAGAUGUAGGCUACUAAGAGCUGUGCAUGUAAACCUCACUCCCCUGAACUCAAGAGGUGCUCUAGCGACUGACUGUGGUCUUUAGCCUCCUUGUCAGAGCACCCACCUCCCAUGCGGACGGGCCCGGGUUCGUGUCCCGCUUGGAGCAGGCAGGUGCGAACUAGAGGGGCUACAUUGGUGCCGUGACCCGGAUGGGAGUGAGGCUUAGGGGAGUGAGUGUAACAGACGUAGGCUAGUAAGAGCUGUGCAUGUAAACCUCACUCCCCUGAACUCAAGAGGUGCUCUAGCAACUGACGCUAGAGACUGCGGUCUUUAGCCUCCUUGUUGGAGCGCCCACCUCCCAUGCAGACGGGCCGGGGUUCGUGUCCCGCUUGGAGCAGGCAGGUGCGAACUAGAGGGGCUACAUUGGUGCCGUGACCAGAUGGGAGUGAGGCUUAGGGGGGUGAGUGUAACAGACGUAGGCUAGUAAAAGCUGUGCAUGUAAACCUCACUCCCCGGAACUCAAGAGGUGCUCUAGCAACUGACGCUAGAGACUGCGGCCUCCUUGUUAAAGCGCCCACCUCCCAUGCGGACGGGCCCGGGGUUCGUGUCCCGCUUGGAGCGGGCAGGUGCAAACUAGAGGGGCUACAUUAGUCAUUCCUUAUUGGUUUUAGAUGAGUCUUUAGUACUUGUCAAGCUGGGAGACAAGUUAAGACUAGCUGGCUGUACCUGAUGUAAAAAAAAAAAAAGCUUAAACCAGCCUAAGAUGGUUUGUUGGUCUUAGUUUUUAGAUUAGUUUUUUAGUACUUGUCCAGCUGACAGACUAACUAAGACCAGAGGAACCAUCAAAAGCUGGCUGUGCCUAAUAGGGGAAAAAAAAAAAACAGCCUAAGAUGAUUUUCUCACCUUCGCUGGUUUUCCAGCCAUGUCAGGCUGGUCCAGAUUGCUGGCUUUAAAGUGGUUUCUGUCAUUGGUCAGCUGGGUGACCAAGUUCAGUCAGAUAAGUCUGGUUUAUGCAUUUUUUCUUUCUUUCUUUUUUUUUUUUUUUUUUUUUUUUUGCAGGGUCUAAGCUGGUGUUUGGCUGGUCAAUCAGCUGCUCUCUUAGACUGACUAGUGGACAAGGGCCAAAAAACCCUUUAAAAGACCAUCAAAAAAGACAGACUUGACCAGCUUGGUCUGGUUGGGAGACCACCUAGACCUUUUAGGCUGUUUUAAGUGUUUUUCAGUAGUGUUCGAAACAGGUAAUCUAAACAUCCAUGGAACAUAAACUUCAACAUAAAAGUCAUUAAGUUUUUCAGUCUUUUUUCUCUUUAUUCUUGAAAGAACACAUUGAGAUUUCACCACAACUGGAGUUGAAACCUGAAAAGGACCUGUCAGUUUGCUUCUUCUCCUAACUACACCUCUUCUCUUUGAGAGGAAGGUCAAACUCAGCAUUAAAGAGAGCCCUUCUUCAGCGCCCCUGGCUCCUGGUAUAUCCGCAGCCUCAGUGAACUCUGCUCCUUGCCCCUCCCAGACCUUGCCCUAAAGACUCUGGAAAAAGCACUGCUUUUUUCUGAAUCACCAACUCAAGCCCCUCGAAGAAGGCAGCAUCUUAAAUGGGACAAAGCUUGCUGGAGGGAGAAACUAAAGAGUCAUGUUCAAAUUAGGAGCCGUCAGAGAGCUUCAUGCCGAUAUUCCCUUUGGUCAGGACGCUGACUACGCCAUGCUGAAUGAAAUACAUCUUCUUGCCGAUAGUUCCCUCUCGAAUUAUGUAAUCUGCUGGUUGGAAGACCUCGAAGCGGAGCUU
Molecule: long non-coding RNA, 4028 nt
Organism: Ctenopharyngodon idella (grass carp)
Lineage: Eukaryota; Metazoa; Chordata; Actinopteri; Cypriniformes; Xenocyprididae
Exons: 4
Source: RefSeq, a predicted model, not a curated record